This 492-nucleotide ribosomal RNA is filed under the name uncultured bacterium. RNAcentral's name for it is "partial 16S ribosomal RNA". It matches the Rfam family "Bacterial small subunit ribosomal RNA", at positions 29 to 507 of the family's 1533-position model. The record is from RNAcentral.
AGUGAACGCUGGCGGUAGGCCUAACACAUGCAAGUCGAACGGCAGCACAGUAAGAGCUUGCUCUUACGGGUGGCGAGUGGCGGACGGGUGAGGAAUACAUCGGAAUCUACUUUUUCGUGGGGGAUAACGUAGGGAAACUUACGCUAAUACCGCAUACGACCUACGGGUGAAAGCAGGGGAUCUUCGGACCUUGCGCGAUUGAAUGAGCCGAUGUCGGAUUAGCUAGUUGGCGGGGUAAAGGCCCACCAAGGCGACGAUCCGUAGCUGGUCUGAGAGGAUGAUCAGCCACACUGGAACUGGGACACGGUCCAGACUCCUACGGGAGGCAGCAGUGGGGAAUAUUGGACAAUGGGCGCAGGCCUGAUCCAGCCAUACCGCGUGGGUGAAGAAGGCCUUCGGGUUGUAAAGCCCUUUUGUUGGGAAAGAGAAGCAGCAGGUUAAUACCCCGCUGUUCUGACGGUACCCAAAGAAUAAGCACCGGCUAACUUCGUG